RNAcentral lists this non-coding RNA (28 nucleotides) under Rattus norvegicus (Norway rat). The record is from RNAcentral. Lineage: Eukaryota; Metazoa; Chordata; Mammalia; Rodentia; Muridae.
UNGGCAUUACUGGCUUAUGGUGUGGCAG